This 253-nucleotide ribosomal RNA is filed under the name uncultured bacterium. RNAcentral describes it as "partial 16S ribosomal RNA". It matches the Rfam family "Bacterial small subunit ribosomal RNA", at positions 524 to 776 of the family's 1533-position model. The record is from RNAcentral.
UACGUAGGGGGCAAGCGUUGUCCGGAUUUAUUGGGCGUAAAGAGCGUGUAGGCGGUUAUGCAGGUCCGCUGUGAAAACUGGAGGCUUAACCUCCAGACGUCGGUGGAAACCGUAUGACUAUAGUCCGGAAGAGGAGAGUGGAAUUCCUGGUGUAGCGGUGAAAUGCGCAGAUAUCAGGAAGAACACCCGUGGCGAAGGCGGCUCUCUGGGACGGUACUGACGCUGAGACGCGAAAGCGUGGGGAGCGAACAGG